Molecule: long non-coding RNA, 356 nt
Filed under: Rattus norvegicus (Norway rat)
Lineage: Eukaryota; Metazoa; Chordata; Mammalia; Rodentia; Muridae
Description: long non-coding RNA NONRATT023149
Source: RNAcentral
CAAAUCUCUGAAAGAAAUGGAAACACCCUUGUCAGCACUUGGAAUGCAAAAUGGUUGCCGAGUCAUGUUAAUUGGUGAAAAGAGCAAUCCAGAAGAAGAGGCUGAGUUGAAAAAGCUGAAGGACUUGGAGGUAUCUGUGGAGAAGACAGCUAACCACCUGGAAGAGUUGAAUAAAGAGCUUUCUGACAUCCAGCAGGUGACUUCCCUAGUCUAGGGAUAGAGCGCUAUGGUAUUGUUGCCUGGCUGGCUUUUUAAAAACCAGCUUACUUCAUUUUUAUUAUGUAUUAUGUGUGUGUCUGCGUCUGAGUCUGUGUGGGAGUAUGUGCAUGUGUCGCUGAUGGCCAGGGCCACCAGAG